CCUACGGGAGGCUGCAGUGGGGAAUAUUGGACAAUGGGCGAAAGCCUGAUCCAGCCAUGCCGCGUGUGUGAAGAAGGCCUUCGGGUUGUAAAGCACUUUCAGUGGGGAAGAAAGCCUUGGGGCUAAUACCCUCGAGGAAGGACAUCACCCACAGAAGAAGCACCGGCUAACUCCGUGCCAGCAGCCGCGGUAAUACGGAGGGUGCGAGCGUUAAUCGGAAUUACUGGGCGUAAAGCGCGCGUAGGCGGUCUGAUAAGCCGGUUGUGAAAGCCCCGGGCUCAACCUGGGAACGGCAUCCGGAACUGUCAGGCUAGAGUGCAUGAGAGGAAGGUAGAAUUCCCGGUGUAGCGGUGAAAUGCGUAGAGAUCGGGAGGAAUACCAGUGGCGAAGGCGGCCUUCUGGACUGACACUGACGCUGAGGUGCGAAAGCGUGGGUAGCAAACAGGAUUAGAUACCCGGGUAGUC
This 465-nucleotide ribosomal RNA is filed under the name Vreelandella stevensii. RNAcentral describes it as "partial 16S ribosomal RNA". It matches the Rfam family "Bacterial small subunit ribosomal RNA", at positions 338 to 795 of the family's 1533-position model. Lineage: Bacteria; Pseudomonadati; Pseudomonadota; Gammaproteobacteria; Oceanospirillales; Halomonadaceae. The record is from RNAcentral.